UGGCGGCAGGCUUAACACAUGCAAGUCGAGCGGUAACAGAGAGUAGCUUGCUACUUUGCUGACGAGCGGCGGACGGGUGAGUAACGCGUAGAAAUCUGCCUGGUAGUGGGGGAUAGCCCAGAGAAAUUUGGAUUAAUACCGCAUACGCCCUACGGGGGAAAGCAGGGGACCUUCGGGCCUUGCGCUAUCAGAUGAGUCUGCGUCGGAUUAGCUUGUUGGUGAGGUAAUGGCUCACCAAGGCGACGAUCCGUAGCUGGUCUGAGAGGAUGAUCAGCCACACUGGGACUGAGACACGGCCCAGACUCCUACGGGAGGCAGCAGUGGGGAAUAUUGCACAAUGGGCGAAAGCCUGAUGCAGCCAUGCCGCGUGUGUGAAGAAGGCCUUAGGGUUGUAAAGCACUUUCAGCAGUGAGGAAAGGUUGUAGCUUAAUACGCUAUAGCUGUGACGUUAACUGCAGAAGAAGGACCGGCUAACUCCGUGCCAGCA
This 487-nucleotide ribosomal RNA is filed under the name marine sediment bacterium ISA-1156. Its description in RNAcentral is "bacterial SSU rRNA". It matches the Rfam family "Bacterial small subunit ribosomal RNA", at positions 37 to 513 of the family's 1533-position model. The record is from RNAcentral.